GGCCCUUCGGCAGCUAUACAUGCAGUCGAACGGUUGUAGUGAUACAAUAGUGGCGCACGGGUGCGUAACACGUAUGCAACCUACCUUAUAGACGGGGAUAGCCUUUGGAAACGGAGAUUAAUACCCGAUAGCAUAUAUUGAUGGCAUCGUUGAUAUAUUAAAGAUUUAUCGCUAUAAGCUGGGCAUGCGUCCAAUUAGUUAGUUGGUUAGGUAAUGGCUGACCAAGACGAUGAUUGGUAGGGGAACUGAGAGGUUAAUCCCCCACACUGGCACUGAGAUACGGGCCAGACUCCUACGGGAGGCAGCAGUAGGGAAUAUUGGGCAAUGGAGGCAACUCUGACCCAGCCAUGCCGCGUGCAGGAUGAAGGCGUUAUGCGUUGUAAACUGCUUUUAUAUAGGAAGAAAUAGACCUUGCGAGGUAAUUUGACGGUACUAUAUGAAUAAGCACCGGCUAACUCCGUGCCAGCAGCCGCGGUAAUACGGAGGGUGCAAGCGUUGUCCGGAUUUAUUGGGUUUAAAGGGUGCGUAGGCGGUUUAUUAAGUCAGUGGUGAAAGACGGUCGCUCAACGAUUGCAGUGCCAUUGAUACUGGUAGACUUGAGUGGGAUUGAGGUAGCUGGAAUGGAUAGUGUAGCGGUGAAAUGCAUAGAUAUUAUCCAGAACACCAAUUGCGUAGGCAAGUUACUAAGUCUCAACUGACGCUGAGGCACGAAAGUGUGGGUAUCAAACAGGAUUAGAUACCCUGGUAGUCCACACUGUAAACGAUGAUAACUAACUGUUGGCUUUCGGGUCAGUGGUACAGAGAAAUCGUUAAGUUAUCCACCUGGGGAGUACGCCGGCAACGGUGAAACUCAAAGGAAUUGACGGGGGUCCGCACAAGCGGUGGAGCAUGGGGGUUUAAUUCGACGAUACGCGAGGAACCUUACCUAGGCUAGAAUGGUGGAAGGAAUGUAUCAGAAAAUGGUGCAGUCAGCAAUGACCUGA
Molecule: ribosomal RNA, 983 nt
Filed under: uncultured bacterium
Lineage: Bacteria
Description: bacterial SSU rRNA
Rfam family: Bacterial small subunit ribosomal RNA
Source: RNAcentral